Molecule: small RNA, 17 nt
Filed under: Arabidopsis thaliana (thale cress)
Lineage: Eukaryota; Viridiplantae; Streptophyta; Magnoliopsida; Brassicales; Brassicaceae
Description: ATSL232050
Source: RNAcentral
AAAUAAUAGAAGAAAAC